UACGGAGGGUGCGAGCGUUGUCCGGAAUCACUGGGCGUAAAGGGCGCGUAGGCGGCGAGGAUAGUCAACGGUGAAAUCCUGGGGCUCAACCCCAGAACUGCAUUGGAUACUGCCUUGCUAGAGUACUGGAGAGGGAACUGGAAUUUACGGUGUAGCAGUGAAAUGCGUAGAGAUCGUAAGGAAGGCCAGUGGCGAAGGCGAGUUCCUGGACAGUUACUGACGCUGAGGCACGAAGGCCAGGGGAGCAAACGGG
RNAcentral lists this ribosomal RNA (253 nucleotides) under uncultured bacterium. Its description in RNAcentral is "partial 16S ribosomal RNA". It matches the Rfam family "Bacterial small subunit ribosomal RNA", at positions 524 to 776 of the family's 1533-position model. The record is from RNAcentral.